UACGUAGGGUGCGAGCGUUAAUCGGAAUUACUGGGCGUAAAGCGUGCGUAGGCGGUCCGCGAAGUCUGAUGUGAAAGCCCCGGGCUCAACCUGGGAACUGCAUUGGAAACUGUCUGGCUAGAGUCCGGAAGAGGAGAAUGGAAUUCCUGGUGUAGCGGUGAAAUGCGCAGAUAUCAGGAAGAACACCCGUGGCGAAGGCGGUUCUCUGGGACGGUACUGACGCUGAGACGCGAAAGCGUGGGGAGCGAACAGG
RNAcentral lists this ribosomal RNA (253 nucleotides) under uncultured bacterium. Its description in RNAcentral is "partial 16S ribosomal RNA". It matches the Rfam family "Bacterial small subunit ribosomal RNA", at positions 524 to 776 of the family's 1533-position model. The record is from RNAcentral.